This is a non-coding RNA of Chiloscyllium plagiosum (whitespotted bambooshark), 353 nucleotides long. NCBI's taxonomy places the organism in Eukaryota, Metazoa, Chordata, Chondrichthyes, Orectolobiformes, Hemiscylliidae. The record is from RefSeq and is a predicted model, not a curated record.
CCCCGGACUCGAAACGUUGACUCCGCUUUCUCUCUGUCUGUCUCUGGACAGAUGCUGCCAGGCCUGAAGCACAAACAAGGUCCUCGGGGUCAAAUAUUUGAUGGACUAAUCCAAGGGUGACCGGCUGCUUCUCACAACCAGCAGAAAAGCAAGGGAUCCAGAUACAGUUUUCUCAAGGAGUCAAUGGAAUCAGAUAAUUACCAUUUAAAGCAGUGCAGAAAGAAAUGAAAAGCCAAAAUUGCCAAGUUUGUGAAGCCGGUCACUCUUUCUUUUUAACAAGAGUUGAACAGUGUUGAUGUUCAAAUAUUCUUUACUGCAUGAUAAAAUAAAAGUCCUUUAGCCUUCCUCCUUCC